UCUACGGGAGGCAGCAGUGAGGAAUAUUGGUCAAUGGGCGAGAGCCUGAACCAGCCAAGUCGCGUGAGGGAGUACUGCCCUAUGGGUUGUAAACCUCUUUUGUCGGGGAGCAAAAGCCGGACGUGUCCGGCUGUGAGAGUACCCGAAGAAAAAGCAUCGGCUAACUCCGUGCCAGCAGCCGCGGUAAUACGGAGGAUGCGAGCUUUAUUCGGAUUUAUUGGGGUUAAAGGUUGCGCAGGCGGAUUUUUAAGUCAGCGGUCAAAGCGUGGGGCUAAACCCCAUCCAGCCGUUGAAGCUGGGGAUCUAGAGUGUGCGAGAGGUAUGCGGAAUGCGUGGUGUAGCGGUGAAAUGCAUAGAUAUCACGCAGAACCCCGAUUGCGAAGGCAGCAUACCGGUGCACAACUGACGCUCAGGCACGAAAGCGUGGGUAUCGAACAGGAUUAGAUACCCUUGUAGUC
This 458-nucleotide ribosomal RNA is filed under the name uncultured bacterium. RNAcentral's name for it is "partial 16S ribosomal RNA". It matches the Rfam family "Bacterial small subunit ribosomal RNA", at positions 338 to 795 of the family's 1533-position model. The record is from RNAcentral.